RNAcentral lists this ribosomal RNA (1332 nucleotides) under human gut metagenome. Its description in RNAcentral is "bacterial LSU rRNA". It matches the Rfam family "Bacterial large subunit ribosomal RNA", at positions 1104 to 2518 of the family's 2925-position model. The record is from RNAcentral.
GCUUAGAAGCAGCCACUCAUUAAAAGAGUGCGUAAUAGCUCACUGGUCGAGUGACUCUGCGCGGAAAAUAUAACGGGGCUAAGCAUGAAACCGAAGCUUGGGCUUGUCUUAAAGACAGGGGUAGGGGAGCGUCGAGUAUGGGGUGAAGUCAGAGCGGAAGCACUGGUGGACUGUACUGGAGUGAGAAUGCCGGAAUGAGUAGCGAGAAUUAUGUGGGAAUCAUAAUGGCCGAAAAUCUAAGGUUUCUUGGGGAAGGUUCGUCCGCCCAAGGUAAGUCGGGAGCUAAGCUCAGGCCGAGAGGCGUAGGCGAUGCACAUACGGUAGAAAUUCCGUAACCACCGAAACUUAAACAGAGGGACACUUCGAAAUAGCGGAACCCGGGCGUUGGUUGACCCGGGCGAAAGGGAGCGAAAUUAGAGUAGCGAAGUCCGCGAUGUUCGGAGGCGAGAAAAGCUCUGAGGUAUGCUAAGGUGCCCGUACCGCAAACCGACACAGGUAGAUGAGGAGAGAAUCCUAAGGCCAACGGGAGAAGGGUUGUUAAGGAACUCGGCAAAUUGACCCCGUAACUUCGGGAGAAGGGGUGCUCCAGAGAUGGAGCCGCAGAGAAUCGGCCCAAGCAACUGUUUACCAAAAACACAGGUUUGUGCUAAAUCGAAAGAUGACGUAUACGAGCUGACGCCUGCCCGGUGCUGGAAGGUUAAGAGGAGAUGUGCAAGCAUUGAAUCGAAGCCCCAGUGAACGGCGGCCGUAACUAUAACGGUCCUAAGGUAGCGAAAUUCCUUGUCAGGUAAGUUCUGACCCGCACGAAAGGCGUAAUGAUUUGGGCACUGUCUCAACAGCCCGCCCGGCGAAAUUGUAGUACUGGUGAAGAUGCCAGUUACCCGCAACUAGACGGAAAGACCCCAUGGAGCUUUACUGCAGCUUAAUACUGAAAUUCGGUAGUACAUGUACAGGAUAGGUGGGAGACUGAGAAAUACAGGCGUCAGCUUGUAUGGAGUCGCUGUUGGGAUACCACUCUUGUACUGCUGGGUUUCUAACCUGCGGCCGUGAAUCCGGUCGGGGGACACUGUUAGGCGGGCAGUUUGACUGGGGCGGUCGCCUCCCAAAAGGUAACGGAGGCGCUCAAAGGUUCGUUCAGCACGGACGGAAAUCGUGCAAUGAGUGUAAACGCAUAAACGAGCCUAACUGCGACACCGACGGGUCGAGCAGUAACGAAAGUUGGAGUUAGUGAUCCGGUGGUAUGUGAGUGGAAAUGCCAUCGCUCAACGGAUAAAAGUUACCCUGGGGAUAACAGGCUGAUCUCCCCCAAGAGUCCACAUCGACGGGGAGGUU